GUCCACUUAGAGCAGUGGUUUAGCUCGCUGGUUUCCGGUUGCUUUUACCUACAAGCCAGAAGUCUUGGGUUCGAAUCCCAAAGUGGAUG
Molecule: non-coding RNA, 89 nt
Organism: Xylariomycetidae sp. FL0641
Lineage: Eukaryota; Fungi; Ascomycota; Sordariomycetes
Source: the annotation of a GenBank genome assembly